UACGUAGGGUGCGAGCGUUAAUCGGAAUUACUGGGCGUAAAGCGUGCGCAGGCGGUUUGUUAAGACAGGUGUGAAAUCCCCGGGCUCAACCUGGGAAUUGCGCUUGUUACUGGCAAGCUAGAGUGUGUCAGAGGGAGGUAGAAUUCCACGUGUAGCAGUGAAAUGCGUAGAGAUGUGGAGGAAUACCGAUGGCGAAGGCAGCCUCCUGGGAUAACACUGACGCUCAUGCACGAAAGCGUGGGGAGCAAACAGGAUUAGAAACCCCAGUAGUCC
RNAcentral lists this ribosomal RNA (273 nucleotides) under uncultured bacterium. RNAcentral describes it as "partial 16S ribosomal RNA". It matches the Rfam family "Bacterial small subunit ribosomal RNA", at positions 524 to 796 of the family's 1533-position model. The record is from RNAcentral.